AAUAGAUACCCUGGUAGUCCACGCCGUAAACGAUGAUUACUAGGUGUCCGGGAUGUUAACCUCCUGGGUACCGUAGCUCACGCAUUAAGUAAUCCGCCUGGGGAGUACGGUGGCAACACUAAAACUCAAAGGAAUUGACGGGGGCCCGCACAAACGGUGGAGUAUGUGGUUUAAUUCGAAGCAACGCGCAGAACCUUACCUGGGCUUAACAUCCCACGACAAUCUCAGAGAUGAGACUUUCCCUUCGGGGACGUGGAGAUAGGUGCUGCAUGGCUGUCGUCAGCUCGUGUUGUGAAAUGUUGGGUUAAGUCCCGCAACGAGCGCAACCCUUGCCCUUAGUUGCCACCAUUAAGUUGGGCACUCUGAGGGGACCGCCGGUGUUAAACCGGAGGAAGGCGGGGAUGACGUCAAGUCCUCAUGGCCCUUAGUCCAGGGCUACACACGUACUACAAUGGCAGAGACAAAGGGUAGCGAAGCAGUGAUGUGAAGCCAAUCCCAAAACGCUGUCUCAGUCCGGAUUGAAGUCUGCAACUCGACUUCA
This 541-nucleotide ribosomal RNA is filed under the name uncultured bacterium. Its description in RNAcentral is "bacterial SSU rRNA". It matches the Rfam family "Bacterial small subunit ribosomal RNA", at positions 777 to 1320 of the family's 1533-position model. The record is from RNAcentral.